AUUGAACGCUGGCGGCAGGCCUAACACAUGCAAGUCGAACGGUAACAGGCCUUCGGGCGCUGACGAGUGGCGGACGGGUGAGUAAGGUAUGGGGAUCUGCCUGAUGGAGGGGGAUAACCACUGGAAACGGUGGCUAAUACCGCGUAAUGUUGCAAGACCAAAGUGGGGGACCUUCGGGCCUCACGCCAUCAGAUGAACCCAUAUGGGAUUAGCUAGUAGGUGGGGUAAAGGCCUACCUAGGCGACGAUCUCUAACUGGUCUGAGAGGAUGACCAGUCACACUGGGACUGAGACACGGCCAGACUCCUACGGGAGGCAGCAGUGGGGAAUAUUGCACAAUGGGCGCAAGCCUGAUGCAGCCAUGCCGCGUGUAUGAAGAAGGCCUUCGGGUUGUAAAGUACUUUCAGCGAGGAGGAAGGCGUUAAGGUUAAUAACCUUGGCGAUUGACGUUACUCGCAGAAGAAGCACCGGCUAACUCCGUGCCAGCGCCGCCGCAGUAAUAC
This 502-nucleotide ribosomal RNA is filed under the name uncultured bacterium. Its description in RNAcentral is "bacterial SSU rRNA". It matches the Rfam family "Bacterial small subunit ribosomal RNA", at positions 30 to 526 of the family's 1533-position model. The record is from RNAcentral.